RNAcentral lists this ribosomal RNA (533 nucleotides) under Emys orbicularis (European pond turtle). RNAcentral describes it as "partial 16S ribosomal RNA". It matches the Rfam family "Bacterial large subunit ribosomal RNA", at positions 1850 to 2597 of the family's 2925-position model. The record is from RNAcentral. Lineage: Eukaryota; Metazoa; Chordata; Testudines; Emydidae.
GGGUAAUGCCUGCCCAGUGACAUUGUUAAACGGCCGCGGUAUUCUAACCGUGCAAAGGUAGCGUAAUCACUUGUCUUUUAAAUAAAGACUAGAAUGAAUGGCCAAACGAGGUUCUACCUGUCUCUUAUGGAUAAUCAGUGAAAUUGAUCCCCCCGUGCAAAAGCGGGGAUAACCCUAUAAGACGAGAAGACCCUGUGGAACUUUAAAUACAGAUCAACUAUCAUCAACAUCCAACUAAGGACUUAUAUUUAAUUAGCAUUUGAUCCAUAUUUUUGGUUGGGGUGACCUCGGAGUAAAACAAAACCUCCGAAAAAAAGAACAUACUUCUAAACCUAGACUUACAAUUCAAAGUACUUAACAGUAUAAAUGAUCCAACAUAUUUGAUCAACGGACCAAGCUACCCCAGGGAUAACAGCGCAAUCCCAUCCUAGAGUCCCUAUCGACGAUGGGGUUUACGACCUCGAUGUUGGAUCAGGACAUCCUGAUGGUGUAACCGCUAUCAAGGGUUCGUUUGUUCAACGAUUAACAGUCCU